AACGUAGGAGGCGAGCGUUAUCCGGAUUUACUGGGCGUAAAGCGCGCGCAGGCGGCGUCUCAAGUCGGAUGUGAAAUCUCCUGGCCUAACUGGGAGGCUGCGUUCGAAACUGAGGCGCUUGAGGUCAGUAGGGGGGAGUGGAAUUCCAGGUGUAGUGGUAAAAUGCGUAGAUAUCUGGAGGAACACCAGUGGCGAAGGCGGCUCCCUGGACUGCACCUGACGCUGAGGCGCGAAAGCGUGGGGAGCGAAC
This 250-nucleotide ribosomal RNA is filed under the name uncultured bacterium. RNAcentral describes it as "partial 16S ribosomal RNA". It matches the Rfam family "Bacterial small subunit ribosomal RNA", at positions 524 to 773 of the family's 1533-position model. The record is from RNAcentral.